UACGGAGGGUGCAAGCGUUGCUCGGAAUUAUUGGGCGUAAAGGGUAUGUAGGUGGUCUCGUUUGUCUGGGGUGAAAGCCUUGAGCUUAACUCAAGAAGUGCCCCAGAAACGGCGAGACUGGAGUCUUGGAGAGGGUCGUGGAAUUCCCGGUGUAGCGGUGAAAUGCGUAGAGAUCGGGAGGAACACCGGUGGCGAAGGCGGGUCUCUGGGCCGAUACUGACGCUGAGGAGCGAAAGCGUGGGGAGCGAACAGG
RNAcentral lists this ribosomal RNA (253 nucleotides) under uncultured bacterium. RNAcentral's name for it is "partial 16S ribosomal RNA". It matches the Rfam family "Bacterial small subunit ribosomal RNA", at positions 524 to 776 of the family's 1533-position model. The record is from RNAcentral.